UGUUCCCGGGAAAGCUUUUUCCAAUUCAUAAAUCCUCAGUAAACACAGGAUGAAGCAUAGAUAAAUCUUACUCAAGCUUUUAAUCAGGCUCAGCGUAUAAAUAGAGAGGUCCCUUUGAUCCAUUAAGGUUUGAGCCGACGCGAUUUUCUUAUCUCGCCAUCAUGUACGGAAACAAAUGCCCUAGAAGCUAGAAAAGGGUUCUUCUCCUUCACUCUUCUUCUCUAACACAGCACAAGAACGAGACGCUUCGUCAGCUCCAUUUCUUCCGCUUUUCUCAUCAGACAUGGAUAACAUACAAGAUAUCGCACAAGGGAUGCAGGAAUUUAAAAUUGAAGCGAUCUCAUGCACUUUUCCUCAGGAAAUCAUACAAGAGAUCCUACUUAGGCUACCCGUCAAAUCUGUUAUCAAAUGCACCUCAGUGUGCAAGACAUGGAGGUCCAUGAUCAUAACCAAAGCUUUAUUCGCACCCACCUCAACCCAACAGUUCAUGUUAAUAACCUGAACGCCAGUCACCUAUUCCUAAUCCACAGGGUUGCUGGUAAGAGGAGCGUCACUAUGUUCCACAAAGCCCUUGUUGACGAUGUACUGGAAGAGGUUUAUUCUCUGCAUUAUGAUAACAAGGCUUUUGACGAGUACUCCAAGAUAGAAUUUCCAAUUGCUCCAAAGCAAGAACUGUACAAUUGACAUCUUCGUGUGGUCGGCACUUGUAACGGGCUAAUCUGCUUUGCGGAUGAUAUCUUCCGUUAUGGUUACGAUAUCUUUAUAUGGAACCCAGCCAUUAGAAAGUUAGUGACCCUUCCCUGGCCUGGUGUUACCUAUUGGGUUUGGCAAAAGCCUGUACUCCACCGGACAGAUUAUGGCAAUGAAUAUUUUAUAUUGACAUUUGACGUGAUCAGUAAGUUAUUUUGUGAAAUGCCAGUGUCGAAGAGUUUAAUAUGUGAUUUCAAACUAGGAUUACAAUUAUCUGUUUCAGGAGAUGGAAAAUCCAUUGCUCUGUUCUCAAUGGAUAACAGAUGUGAAGACCGUUUUCUUGAUAUAUGGGUGAUGAAAGAGUAUGGCAUAAAGGAGUCGUGGACCAAAUUGCUUGGUCCACAGGGGCCGGAAAGACUUCUACCCAGGGGCAUUAUGUUUUAGGAAGAGCGGCAAAGUAUUAUUGAUGCUUUGUGGAGAUAGGGAAGAAUUUUCUGAUGAUGAUGAUAACUUUGAUAAUUACUACAUAAAAUCAAAGCAUGAGUUAGUAUCACUAGACCUUGUGAACAAAACCGUUGAAAAUCUUGGUGUUCCUGGAGAAGGAUAUCAAUAUUGCACCGUUGAUUCUUUCAAAGAGGUCCUUGUCUUACUCGACCCGACAGAUGCGGUUUCCUACUAAGAGAAGGAACAGACAGACUCGUAGGGCUGCAACUUCCUUUUCCUCAAGUGCCUGAAAUGCUGGUGCAUUUUGUUGACAUGGAACUUCUUAUCCCAAGUGCUGAUAUAUUUUCUCGACUAGUUUUUAGGACAAUUAUAAACUUAGUUUUUGACCUAUGGAAGUAUGCACUUGUUACAUAUUUGAAUUGGUUAUGCAGUUCUAAACUAGCGAAUGAUUUUGCAAAUUUUUUCCCUCAACAAUUAACAGUAUUUGCAUUUGAUAUGAUUCCCUUCACAUUCGAUA
RNA transcript from Prunus dulcis (almond), 1651 nucleotides. It is a transcript of the gene named putative F-box protein At1g12855, with no coding region annotated. Lineage: Eukaryota; Viridiplantae; Streptophyta; Magnoliopsida; Rosales; Rosaceae. The record is from RefSeq and is a predicted model, not a curated record. The transcript is spliced from 4 exons.